RNAcentral lists this long non-coding RNA (1171 nucleotides) under Homo sapiens (human). RNAcentral's name for it is "HSALNT0007674". The record is from RNAcentral. Lineage: Eukaryota; Metazoa; Chordata; Mammalia; Primates; Hominidae.
AUGAAUUGGAGGCCAUUAUUUUAAGUGAAACAACUCAGACACAGAAAGAAAAAUACUGCAUCUUCUCACUUACAGACAUUAGGCUUCUUUACGAUUUGGUUUUCUUAUUUCUAAAUCGCGCCUCUCUACACCUCUCCUCUGUGCAGACUGCCCCUGUUUCAGCCUCCAGGAGAGUCUGUGACAAGGAGUGGGCUCCCUCUGCAAGGUGCUUGGAUUCCUCUGAAGAAAGAAAGCAAGGAAACAUGAAGUAUGGUGAUGGUGGCAUUUUCAAGGGCGGGUGAUGAAUGGAAACUUCCUGACAUUUCAAGCGACAACAUCUGAAAGGAAAUGGAAUUUUCCUGAAGCACAGGCAGGAGGUCCCCGUCACAAGCUAUUGAUUUGGUGUGCACAUCUUGCAUUUAAUCUGGUGAUUAAUUUGGAGGGAGGCUGCAUGCAUGCUGUGCUUUCAUUUAGUGAGUUUAAAAGCCCACAACUUCUGAUUUAUUUUGCUUCAUUCAUGAGGAGCUGUUUUAUUGCAAAGGGUUGAAUGACAGGUUUCCUGGCAGGCUGUAAAGACAGGUAAAAUUUAAAUAAGGAACAUAAAAUCUUUGAAGACACUCUAUUUAUCUUUUGUAACUUAUUAAUCACACCUAUUGAAGGCUGGUUGACCCUCCGGGAAUAGUUCAGCAAAGAAAAACUAUUGAGCAUGUUAAGCUUGCCAAUCCCUUGCUUUUCUUUUUCUUCAUUUAGAGAUGAGAAAACUAAGGACCUAAAAUAAGACUUUACUUGCUAAGUCAUACCAUGAGUUGGAACUGAAAUUAACUCCUAGCUCUGCCCUGUGACUUCAAGACCACCAAAAUACAAGAAGUAUGUGUAGAGCUCGAAAUAUGUUCCUAAAAUAUUCAAAGUAUUUUAAUAAUAAAUUGAGAAUUAACAUAAGCACUCUCUAACUAACAUCUUAUCAAUGGCUCCCCAUUGCCUGAAGAACAAACUUUAAGAGCCAGCCUCCACUUACUUGGCAAGUUCCAUUUCUUUUCCCCCUUGAACUCACCUCCGUCCAUAUGAAACGACUUUACCUUUUCCCAAGUAGAAUAUGGUCCUUCUUAUUGCUGGGCUGUUGCAAAUGCUGUCCACUUGCCUGGAUGUUUUUCCUGGAAGGAAGUAAAGAAAAAUUAGCUGGGUGUGGUGGUGC